This 253-nucleotide ribosomal RNA is filed under the name uncultured bacterium. RNAcentral describes it as "partial 16S ribosomal RNA". It matches the Rfam family "Bacterial small subunit ribosomal RNA", at positions 524 to 776 of the family's 1533-position model. The record is from RNAcentral.
UACGUAGGGAGCAAGCGUUGUUCGGAUUUACUGGGCGUAAAGGGCGCGUAGGCGGCGCGGUAAGUCACUUGUGAAAUCUCUGAGCUUAACUCAGAACGGCCAAGUGAUACUGCAGUGCUAGAGUGCAGAAAGGGCAAUCGGAAUUCUUGGUGUAGCGGUGAAAUGCGUAGAUAUCAAGAGGAACACCUGAGGCGAAGGCGGGUUGCUAGGCUGACACUGACGCUGAUGCGCGAAAGCCAGGGGAGCAAACAGG